Molecule: ribosomal RNA, 383 nt
Filed under: uncultured eukaryote
Lineage: Eukaryota
Description: partial 18S ribosomal RNA
Rfam family: Eukaryotic small subunit ribosomal RNA
Source: RNAcentral
CAAUAGCGUAUAUUAAAGUUGUUGCAGUUAAAAAGCUCGUAGUUGGAUUUCUGGAGGGUGCAGCCGGUCGGCUCCGCAAGGGGUGCGUACUCGCGCUGCCGCCUUUCAUCCUUCGGACGAACGUGUCUGGCAUUAGGUUGUCGGGCUCGGGAGUCCGAUCAUUUACUGUGAAAAAAUUAGAGUGUUUAAAGCAGGCGUUUGCUGUGAAUACAUUAGCAUGGAAUAAUAAGAUAGGACUUUGGUGCUAUUUUGUUGGUUUGCACACCAAGGUAAUGAUUAAUAGGGAUAGUUGGGGGUAUUCAUAUUCAAUUGUCAGAGGUGAAAUUCUUGGAUUUAUGGAAGAUGAACUUAUGCGAAAGCAUUUACCAAGGAUGUUUNCAUUA